ACACAACGAGCAUUUCGGCGAGCAUUUAGCCGAAGAUAUUAAGCAGUGCUUUAAGACAAACGCACACCCAGACACCUCCCCUGAAACCCUAUGGCUAGCACAUAAGCCAGUAAUCAGAGGACUGAUCAUAGGGAAAACCAGUGCGUUAAAACAGAAAUUACAAGCACAAUUAAAGAGACACUUGACAGCCCUCUACCGCCUCAAUAAACAAAACCCACUGACCCCAACACCACUGUUAAAAACACAAAUAAAAGAGAAGUUAGAAGAAAUCAGGAAACACGACCUGGCAAAGAUGGGAUUUAGCCUUAG
Molecule: non-coding RNA, 309 nt
Organism: Pelobates cultripes (western spadefoot toad)
Lineage: Eukaryota; Metazoa; Chordata; Amphibia; Anura; Pelobatidae
Source: the annotation of a GenBank genome assembly